This is a long non-coding RNA of Corapipo altera (White-ruffed manakin), 2672 nucleotides long. RefSeq lists it as uncharacterized. NCBI's taxonomy places the organism in Eukaryota, Metazoa, Chordata, Aves, Passeriformes, Pipridae. The record is from RefSeq and is a predicted model, not a curated record. The transcript has 3 exons.
UUCCUGAAGAAAGACAGAGCACACAGAAACCUGCUUCUCAGAAAAUGAGGGAGAUGCCUGCACCACUCCGUGGAUGGGGCAUCUCAGGGAAUAUAAAUGCUAUUGCUGUAAGGAUGAGGAGCCUGGAUGAGAAUCCUGUCCCAGGCACGAGCCCACACAUCACAGCAGCUUGAAACGCGACGCUGGGACAAUGAAGUGUCUGUUCUGUUUCUUUGUGCAAAUGCUGCAACUGUAAAAGAAAAAGCAGACCUUUCUGGAAGCAGUGGACAAGUUGUAGUGCAGCAGUCAGAUCUUGCAGGGACCUCUUGACAACAGAAACUCCACUGACAGUUAGAAUGGCUCCUGGGUGGCUUCACAGAGGUGCUUCUUUGCUAUCCCGCUGAAAUUCCUCACCCCAGAAACCACAACCUCAAAGGGCUCCGAGGCAGCAGAGAGGACGUGAACAAAGAGCUCCCUCCCUGCACUGCAGCUUGGAUCAGAUCCAAAACACUCACGGGCAGGAGGCAGACUGGAGACAUGCAGACAAGUAAUUUUUAGAAUAGACCUAGUUAUUAGCUGUUGCUUUCACUGGCACAACAUGCAGACACAAGCCUGUGAUUUUAGCCCAAUGGUGGCUUUUAUAAAAUGCCUUCUCUAAGUCUCCUUCCAUCAGAGCAGAGUGAACUGGCACAUGUUCCUCUGGGUCAUUCAGACCUGCAGAGAGAGACGUGCCCAAGCCUGUUUAUCAGGACAGCACAGAUCUUACAGCUGAAUCCCAUGUGUCCUGCAAAGUUAAAAUAUUCUUUAAACAAACAGGGAGACAGAGGAGUAUCCCUCAUUUUCCUCUUUUUACUACCAAUCUAUUUGUUUUUCUUAAGCUUUCAGUUCCUGAAGUCGGAAGCUUAUUAAAACCUUUGUUUAUUGAAGGUUUUUUUAGCACAAGGCUUUACAAACAAAACUCAGAGAGUUGUCUUUUUUUGGUAAUCUCAUAAUAUUACAGUCAAUCUCACAGUACUUAGAAUUAUGACUCACUAUUUUUGUAACCCUUGAACUUGGCAGCACAGGGACAAGCAGUAACAUGCCACGAGUUUGUUUGUCUCGUGGGUGGAACUUGAGCAAAGUCUGGGUCUUAUUGCAGUGUUACAGGCUUGGGGAGAAUAUAUUUAUCUCCACAACCGUAAAUAAGUAAAUAUAAUUAUCCAGUGUUAUACACAGUGAGAGAGAUCUGAGGUAGGUGUGAGUAAUGUUAUGAGAUAAGGAUAUAUAUAUAUAUAUAGUUUAUAUAUUUUGGUUUUUUCCCUGUGGCACGUAGCCCUAUUUUUGUCUGAACAAAGAACAGUAACUGGACUUGCUACACACCCUCAGAAGGCCUGACUGGCUGUCCCAAGCUAAACCCUGUAACUAAAGAUAAACAGCUUGCUUCAGUCCACAGUGCUCAUGGAAAAAUGAUCCCUCGUUGCUAGGACAUUAGCCUACAUGAAAAGCAGCCCCAGCUUGUGUUCCAGAAUGUACAGAUUCGUUGGAAACAUUUCCCUGACCCCAGAUUCUUCUCCUGAAAGUAGGUUGCUUUGUACUACUGCCCAGUGACCUACUUUUGAAACCACUUGGAAAGAAAUAUGUGUUCCCAACUGCAGGCCCCAUGCCCUGGCGAAGGCUGGAGCCACCUGUGCAGCCAGGCCAGUCACAAGAUACAGAUUUCUGGGUUUUAUCAGCUUUGCAUUUAUUUAUAUACAGUUCAGAGUCAGCUGCUUGAUGACUUUUAUUCACCAAGAGCUACUGGAGGAAGAGUGGAAUGUUUGUUAAAUACAUGUGCUUUGUACAAGCACAGCAGUUCCCACACCAUAGGAUUUAGCCAUUCUUAGGAACAAAAACAAACCACAAGGGAAGGCUCCUCUGCUUUUUGGUUUAUACAGAAAGGAAAAACUGACAGAAAUUUCUUCUUCUCUACCUACAAGGACAUUAAAAAGAGAGACAUGCACAGUGAAAUCCUUAAUACAAGUCUGUUGUGCUCAAACACUGCCCAGGCUUUACCACUGCCUGUGGUUCAUCUCCAGCUUUACAGACGUGGCAUUUCACAUUUGUAAAUAUUAGUUCCUCGUGUCCUCUCCAGACUCCAUGGCAGAAUCUGUCCCUGGAGCAGAGCCUGGGAUGUACAGCAUGCCCAGGCCAGCCUUGGAGCAAACAUUCAGUCCUCCUGGCACCACCAAACCAAACCAGCCUGGUGGAAAAACUGAGCAAAACUGGCAGCACAAAGCAUACAAAUGGGAAAUUGCCCAACUCUGCCUUUUGCCCUAAAUUUAUGCAGCCAAAUAAUAUUUCCAAGGUUGGCUAUUGCCAUGGAGCUGUUUCUGAACAUUCCAGUUACCAUUUUUCCCUCUUCCUGUUUCUACAGUGCAAAUAAUUACUGGUAGGAUGAUUUAUUUCCUUUUUACUGUAAACCAGGAGGUUCUAGAAACCCUGUUAGGAGAAAGGAAAGCAAAAGGGUUUUGUUUUUGUUGAGGUUUUUUGGUGAGUUUGUAUUUUUGUCUAGGUUUGAGGGGUUUUUUUAGGGGGAAAUAGAGCAGCUCUGUGCUGAAUCUUGCCAGUCACACAAGUGCUGAUGCUUUGUGAGGGGAGGAUUGAACAAGGUCAUCUGCCUUCACUGAAGGAGCAGCAGGUAAAGCUGCUAAAAAACACAUUAAAACCUUCUUGGA